CAGGGACUUGCGGCUGAGCGCAGAGCUGCCUGGCGGGGCCGCAGGGUUUCCCAGCGUGACCAGCAGGGGCCGCGGGGCCCGGGACCUUAUGGUAUUGCGCAGAUUGAAAACUACUGGUGAAACUAAAAUAAACAGCUGUGUCUCCGUCUCAGAGGACAAAGUGAUUUCUGAGGGCUGUGCUUCACACAACAAUUGGAUCUGCCAAAAGAAACCAAAACAUCUCUGAAACUUCGCUUAACGACUCCUGACUGCGAAUCCCACCCGAUUACUUUACCAUCCAGAUCUCUGCACUCACUCUUUCUAGGCUGUGGGCCCCCACCCCACCCAGUCAUAGUUAGUGGCACAAAGCAUGGACUCCAUAAAACUGGAGUGUAAGUUAGCCUGUCUGGAAUUUUCUUGAUUAACGAGAAGAUGAUCCUACAUAGUAUAAGAAGGCAAACUGAGCAAGUCAGGAGGAGAAAGACUCUAGCUCGUGGGUAUCUUCCAGACACUACAUUUGAACCAUAGUCAAGGUCGUGGACAGUCCCAGAAGCAUCAACACCGUGAAUGUGACUGUUGGAGGUGGAAGGCCGAGAAGGGACCAGGCAGGCACAAAGUAAUGUUGGGACAGCACGGUGUUACCUUCGUCUUUACAGUAACGCAAUGACAUCAUCAGAGCACAAAUCUGAAGAAAAUAGUCCCAUAAAUUAUCAUUUGCACGCUCACCUGGUACUGGUAACAACUUGGCAUGGUAUUGGUAACGACUUUCUGGCACUGUUCAUAACAACUGAGUCCUUUCUGAUGGCUCAUGAGUCAUCUCUCACACACAGAUAUUACAUAUGAAAUCAAGUGACCCUCAAGGCACAUUGGAUGGAAUGUUUUCCCAUGACCCCAAAUAGUUAGAUUUCCUGUCUCCAUCACUUCCACUGCAGCCUUUAUUUACUAUUGGAUCGAAUCCUACUGAGAUCAUCUCUGAACUCCAGCUGUGGAGGUUAAUUUCCACCAGGAAGGCUUGUGAAACCUCAGGUCUAAUUCAGAUGUGGUGACUGAGCCUUGUCAGAUCUGAGUCAGUGUUUAUCCUCAUACACUGUCUGCACCUCUAAGUCACAUCCAGAGGAUGCAAUUCCAAGCCUGCCUCCUGUCAAUUAUAGAACAAAACAGAUAUGAAUGUUCAUGAGGAUAUGGAGAAAAGAUCAAGUGCCUACACUAGUGGGAAUGAAAGCUGCCGUGGCCGUUCUGCACAACAGCAAGGGAGACCUCAAAAAUUCGAGACACAUCCACUUUACUGUCAAACAAUCCCAUUCUGUACCUAUGUCCUAAUAAAAGAAAAACUGUGAAA
Molecule: long non-coding RNA, 1318 nt
Organism: Myodes glareolus (Bank vole)
Lineage: Eukaryota; Metazoa; Chordata; Mammalia; Rodentia; Cricetidae
Source: RefSeq, a predicted model, not a curated record